This 301-nucleotide ribosomal RNA is filed under the name uncultured bacterium. RNAcentral's name for it is "partial 16S ribosomal RNA". It matches the Rfam family "Bacterial small subunit ribosomal RNA", at positions 509 to 809 of the family's 1533-position model. The record is from RNAcentral.
CAGUAGCCGCGGUAAUACGUAGGGUGCAAGCGUUAAUCGGAAUUACUGGGCGUAAAGCGUGCGCAGGCGGUUCUAUAAGACAGAUGUGAAAUCCCCGGGCUCAACCUGGGAACUGCAUUUGUGACUGUAGAGCUGGAGUGCGGCAGAGGGGGAUGGAAUUCCGCGUGUAGCAGUGAAAUGCGUAGAUAUGCGGAGGAACACCGAUGGCGAAGGCAAUCCCCUGGGCCUGCACUGACGCUCAUGCACGAAAGCGUGGGGAGCAAACAGGAUUAGAGACCCCUGUAGUCCCUGUCUUUUAUAC